CCUACGGGAGGCAGCAGUGAGGAAUAUUGGUCAAUGGACGAGAGUCUGAACCAGCCAAGUCGCGUGAAGGAUGACUGCCCUAUGGGUUGUAAACUUCUUUUAUAUGGGAAUAAAAUUUUCCACGUGUGGGAUUUUGUAUGUACCCUAUGAAUAAGCAUCGGCUAACUCCGUGCCAGCAGCCGCGGUAAUACGGAGGAUCCGAGCGUUAUCCGGAUUUAUUGGGUUUAAAGGGAGCGUAGGUGGUUUGUUAAGUCAGUUGUGAAAGUUUGUGGCUCAACCGUAAAAUUGCAGUUGAAACUGGCAGUCUUGAGUACAGUAGAGGUGGGCGGAAUGCGUGGUGUAGCGGUGAAAUGCUUAGAUAUCACGAAGAACUCCGAUUGCGAAGGCAGUUCACUGGACUGCAACUGACACUGAGGCUCGAAAGUGUGGGUAUCAAACAGGAUUAGAUACCCCUGUAGUC
This 460-nucleotide ribosomal RNA is filed under the name uncultured bacterium. RNAcentral describes it as "partial 16S ribosomal RNA". It matches the Rfam family "Bacterial small subunit ribosomal RNA", at positions 338 to 795 of the family's 1533-position model. The record is from RNAcentral.